This 261-nucleotide ribosomal RNA is filed under the name uncultured bacterium. RNAcentral describes it as "partial 16S ribosomal RNA". It matches the Rfam family "Bacterial small subunit ribosomal RNA", at positions 92 to 354 of the family's 1533-position model. The record is from RNAcentral.
CGACCGGCGCACGGGUGAGUAACACGUGUCCAACCUGCCGAUGACUCGGGGAUAGCCUUUCGAAAGAAAGAUUAAUACCCGAUGGCAUAGUUCUUCCGCAUGGUAGAACUAUUAAAGAAUUUCGGUCAUCGAUGGGGAUGCGUUCCAUUAGCUUGUUGGCGGGGUAACGGCCCACCAAGGCAUCGAUGGAUAGGGGUUCUGAGAGGAAGGUCCCCCACAUUGGAACUGAGACACGGUCCAAACUCCUACGGGAGGCAGCAG